Molecule: non-coding RNA, 455 nt
Organism: Pelodiscus sinensis (Chinese soft-shelled turtle)
Lineage: Eukaryota; Metazoa; Chordata; Testudines; Trionychidae
Source: RefSeq, a predicted model, not a curated record
GGGUCCUGCCUUCGCGUUCUCUCUGGCACGAGCUGCUUGGUGCAUGGGGUAGCUGGGCCCCCUAGUUCUGUGGAGGUUGAGCUGCUGUUGCAAGGCUCACUGACCAUCUCGUGUUUUCCCCUUUUUCCUCUAGUGGCGCAAGAAGCGAAUGCGCAGGCUGAAGCGCAAAAGGAGAAAGAUGAGGCAGAGAUCCAAGUAGGCGUCUUCUGUGUUGCUACUGAGGCUGCAAAGCAGAGCAUAUGAUGUUGGAGCUUGGGAUGCUGAAAUCCUUCAGAUGUGCCUACUUCCGGAUGUUGAAAGAGGGCUUCUUACUGUCUUCAAGAGUUUUCAAUCUUAGGAAUGAAGGGCUCAUCUGUAUGGGUGAUAGCCCUGAGUUUUGACAUUCUGGACUGGCUCUGGUCUUUGUAGUUCAAUGUAGCAGGUAUACAAUAAACCCUGGUUUGGUUGGGAAUUCA